GACGAACGCUGGCGGCGUGCUUAACACAUGCAAGUCGAACGGAGAUUAUUAAUGAAGCUUGCGAUUUAAUAAUCUUAGUGGCGCACGGGUGAGUAACACGUAUGCAACCUACCUUCAACAGGAGGAUAACCCGUUGAAAGACGGACUAAUACUCCAUGACACAGGGGUCCCGCAUGGGGAUAUUUGUUAAAGAUUAGUCGGUUGAAGAUGGGCAUGCGUUCCAUUAGCUUGUGGCGGGUAACGCCAC
Molecule: ribosomal RNA, 247 nt
Filed under: uncultured bacterium
Lineage: Bacteria
Description: partial 16S ribosomal RNA
Rfam family: Bacterial small subunit ribosomal RNA
Source: RNAcentral